CUCACCAGCGACUAGAACCAGCAACUCUGUCAGGGAUUGUGGCAUUUAUCCUUAGUCUUUUAUGUGCAGCUCUGAAUUUAAUUCGAGGCUUUCAUGCCAUAGAAAGUCUCCUGCAGAGUGAUGGUGAGGAUUUUAAUUACAUUGUUGCAUUUUUCCUUGGAACAGCAGCCUGCCUUUAUCAGUGUUACUUACUUGUCUACUACACCGGCUGGCGGAAUGUCAAAUCUUUUUUGACUUUUGGCUUAAUCUGUCUAUGCAACAUGUAUCUCUAUGAACUGCGCAACCUCUGGCAGCUUUUCUUUCAUGUGACUGUGGGAGCAUUUGUUACACUACAGAUCUGGCUAAGGCAAGCCCAGGGCAAGGCUCCUGAUUAUGAUGUCUGACACCAUCCUUCAGACUAUUGCCUUGGCUUCAGGGGAAGGAGGAGGGAGCAUGUCUUAACUACCACUGUGAUGAAGAACCUGUUCACCACAAAGAAGCUCUGUUUUCUCUCUCUCCAACUGUCUUUUUUGCUUUAAGUCAGCAUAGCAUGCCUGUGAGCAUGCAUUACCUGUUAGGCAAACUUCUCUCAGCAGAAUGUUGGCCAUGAGGUUAUCAUUUGGAAGAUGAGGAGACGCCAUGGCAGUGGAAGAAUAGUCAGUCACCAUUGGAAGACUUGGCCAGCAGCCGUGGCUGGAGGGUUGAGUCAAAAAGUAUGUGUGGUACUUUCUCUGAGAACCAAGCAGGAGCUCUACAACCCCAGUUUGCCUUUGUGAGGCAUUAGUGUAGACCAAAUAAAAAGAUGCUGCAGUGAAUUAGAAAGUUUAUGUGUAAAACAUGACUUGCUGAAUAUCAGAUUAUUUGCACAUUUAUGGUACCAUGAGUUUAUGAAGUCUAAAUUGGUGUGGAGUUAAUUCCUUUUCCUUUUGCUUGAAUCUAAACUCUGGAAAUUGCCCAGUGUAGAAGAAGGCUGUGGUAAGCUCAUCCUUGGCUUUCCUUUCACAAGUAUUGAAUACUCUUCCUUUCACAAGUAUUGAAAACACAGUGACACAUGUUUUUUUCUUAGACCAUGUUUAUACUUUCUUUUGGAAUAACUUUUGAAAAUAUGAUUUGUUAGACCAUAACCAUUGUUUCCCAGACUUCAAUCACUUGAGUAUUAUACAUGCUAUGAUUUACUUAAUAUUCAUCUUUUAAAUUUUAAAAUAUUUCAAAAAGAAACUCUACUCCAAGUGGAAAACCAGCAUCAGAUUGCUAUAAAUAAAAGAUAACAACAAAAUAAAUACAAUUAAAACAAAAAAUGUUAUUAAAUUCUACCUAAAUACCAGUGCAAGUCAAGGCUCUGAAUCCAAGAAGCCUGCUCUUUUGUUGCAGUGAGAGAUGUUACCCAGCACCAAAAUGGGGAUCUCUCUGUGGAAUUAUCAGAAGUCUAAAAGAAAAUUGCAAAGGGAAUGACAUCCUCACCAUGGUUCAGCAUGGCUUAAUUCUGUGUUGAGUACCACCGAAAAUCAUCUUACAUGCCACCCAGUGGUAUGGAUCCUGCACUAUGGAAACACUGAACUGCUCCAAGAGAAUCAGAAGUGGAAUGCAGUCUGAAGAAAUGCCUAUUUCCAUUUCUGUUGGCCUAUGUCUGGAUAGAAUUCUGAUUUGUCAAGGCUCCACAGAGACCAGAUUUGUCAGUCUGGCACUUGAAGAUUGGAUAAAGAGCUGCACAAGUAUCUGGGGUCAGGGAAUGCCAGAGGAGGGAGAAACCUUGGAGGUCAGCCAUUCCAGUGGCCUCACUUGGCGUUAUCCUUGUGUCUGUCUUGUGAAGCAAUGACCUUGCAGGUGGCAGUGAGAGUCUGUGCAACACUACUUUUUGAGCAUCUACAUCCUGUGCCUAAGAAUGCCUUCCCACCCUGCAAGGAUGUGAGCUCAGCAUCGAUUCCAGGCUCUGGGAAACUCCCUUUCUACCAAUUAGCAGCUAGUGGCCAGACUGCAUAUAGAAACACUCAUAUCUUAUCAUGUUUAGACUAUAGCUCUGGGCAUGAUUUCUCUACGCCACUCAGAGAGAAAAAGAUAAAUAAUGUUUCAUCUUUGUUUACAGUUUAUCAAGUUGUAGAUCACAGUUUAGUGUAAGAGGAAAAAAUCUUCUAUAAGACAAAGAUUAAAGCCAAUAAUAUUUCAGUAAGUUAUAAAAUCAUAAAUUUAUCAGUUCACUUACUCCCAUGUAAUUGAUUCCUGUUGAUCUGGAUGAAACCUUCAGGUUUUCCAUUGGUUUUGUAAAUUCUUACUGUUCAGCAGUAUGAUCUAAAAGUCAUCAGGGAGUUCUCGUUGUGGCUCAGUGGUUAAUGAAUCCGAUUAGGAACCAUGAGGUUGUGGGUUCGAUUCCUGGCCUCACUCAGGGGGUUAAGGAUCCAGCAUUUCCAUGAGCUGUGGUGUAGGUCGUAGACUUGGCUCAGAUCCUGAGUUGCUGUGGCUCUGGUGUAGGCCGACGGCUAUAGCUCCGAUCAGACCCCUAGCCUGGGAACCUCCAUAUGCUUCGGGGGCGGCC
This 2509-nucleotide long non-coding RNA is filed under the name Sus scrofa (pig). RNAcentral's name for it is "lncRNA (ENSSSCG00055013464.1)". Lineage: Eukaryota; Metazoa; Chordata; Mammalia; Artiodactyla; Suidae. The record is from RNAcentral.